UUCGGAACAAACAUGUAUCAUAUUUACAUAUGAGAAUAAAAACACUGACUUUUGGUUAUCUGAAUAUCAUCUAAAGUAUAAAAAUGUACAUCAAAAAUGUCAGCAACAUAAUGAAAAUGUUUUUUUUUCUCAUGUAUUUGACUUAAAUUCAAUCCAGAAAAGGAGUUACUUACUAAAAAGUUCCAGCUGUUAUCCUUAAUACACAUUCUAUCAGCCCACUUAUGAACUUUUGCAUUUUUUCGAUUUAAGCUCAAGUUAUUUAAUCUACACCACAAACAAAAUAUACUUUUCCACUGCUUAUCAAAAAAUCAAAAAGAUGGUUUUAAUAACACACUCGAGCCAAAUAUGAACAACUCGCAUAAUCUUAGUUUGCCUGGGUUAUAUUAUAAAUAAUAACAAAUUCAAUAAAUCAUUAUUAUUACUAUGCAUAUAUAAUUGAACAUCAUACAAUUACUAUGUAUACAUUAUCCUGAAUACAACAAAACCACCUAAAUGCACCCCUGCAGUAUAUUGAACCUCUUAUUAUAGACCUCUCAUUUAAAAAAUUCUAGCUGUCCUAACUCCUUUACAUAGUAACAAUACUCCAAUAAGUAGUUUGUAUGUAUUUAAAAUGAUGGAAAAGAUAUUUUGAAAAUUUUACUUUGCCAUUGUAUUUUGACCCCCUACCAUGGUAUAUUGAACCCCCUACUAUAGACCUUGAAUUUCAAAAAAUUUAGCUGUUAUAACUUUUUUACAUAGUAAUUAUAUUCCAAUAAGUAGUUUGUAUGUAUUUUACUUGCUUGAAAAGAUGUUUUGCAAAUUAUCUUAGCCAAGAUAUUUUGACCCCCCUGCAGUAUAUUGACCCCCCCCCCCCUUUUGCGGUAUUUUGAACUUCCUAAUAUAGAAUUUGGAUUUCAAAAAUUCUAGCUAUAUUAACUCCUUAACAUAGUAAUAAUACUCAAAUUAGUAGUUUGUAUGUAUUUAACCUGAUGGAAAAGAUGUUUUGAAAAUUUUACUUAGCCAUGGUAUUUUGAUCCCCGCCAAUGCGGUAUAUUGAACCCCCCACUAUAGACCUCUCAUUUUAAAAAAUCUAGCCGUUAUAACUCUUGAACAUAGUAAUUAUAUUCCAAUAAGCAGUUUGUAUGUAUUUUACUUGCUUGAAAAGAUGUUUUGAAAAUUUUACUUAGCCAUGGUAUUUUGACCCCCUGGGGUAUAUUUAACCCCUACUAUAGACCUCUCAUUUCAAAAAUUCUAGCUAUACUAAAUCCUUAACAUAGAAAUAAUACUCCAAUAAGUAGGUUGUAUGUAGUUAACAUGAUGAAAAAGAUGUUUUGAAAAUUUUACUUUGCCAUUGUAUAUUGACCCCCUACCAUGGUAUUUUGAACCCCCUACUAUAGAAUUUGGAUUUCAAAUAAUCUAGCUGUUAUUGGAAUAUACUUACUAUGUUAAAGAGUUAUAACAGCUAGAUUAUUUGAAAUCCAAAUUCUGUAGAUAACUCUUUAACAUAGUAAUAACUCUUUAACAUAGUAAUUAUAUUCCAAUAUGUAGUUUGUAUGUAUUUUACUUGCUUGAAAAGAUGUUUUGAAAAUUUUACUUUGCCAUGGUAUUUUGACCCCCUGCGGUAUAUUGAACCCCCUACUAUAGACCUCUCAUUUCAAAAAUUCUAGCUAUUCUAACUCUUUAACAUAGUAAAAAUACUCCAAUAAGUAUAACAUAGUGAUAAUACUCCAAUAAGUAGUUUGUAUGUAUUUAACAUGAUGGAAAAGAUAUUUUGAAAAUUAUACUUUACCAUUGUAUUUUGACAUUUACCAUGGUAUAUUGAACUACUAUAGACCUUGGAUUUCAAAAAAUCUAGCUGUUAUAACUAUUUAACAUAGUAAUUGUAUUCCAAUAAGUAGUUUGUAUGCAUUUUACUUGCUUGAAAAGAUGUUUUGAAAAUUUUACUUAGCCAUGGUAGUUUUACCCCCUCCCCUUUUGUGAUAUAUUGAAUCCCCAACUUUAGAACUCUCAUUUCAAAAAUUCUAGCUAUACUUAAUCCUUAACAUUGAUAAUACUCCAAUAAAACUACAGAUAUAAUGAAUAAUAGAGAUGUGCGGUUUUGUACAUAUACCAGGGGGAAACUUGAUGCAAAGCAUUAUUAUUUACUGUUUUAUUGCGUUUAAUAGAAAAAGAGGGUUUAAUAGAAAAAGGGUACUUUUUGCAAAUAAACCAAGAUUUUUAUAGAAAAUCUACAGCCUUUAAAAGCUAUUUUGAAAAUUUUACUGUGCCAUGGUAUUUUGACCCCCUCUCAUGGUAUGUUGAACCCCCCUACUAUAGACCUUUGAUUUCAAGAACUCUAGCUGUUAUAACUCUUUACAAUGACUUGACUGUUAGUGUUGCUCUCCACAAAUUGCAACUCAUUCAAAAUUUUGACCAAAUUGCAAUUUGUUUUAUUAAACCAAAUUGUUCAACUGGUCAGAAUAUUGAACAAAUUGUUCAGUCAAAAUCCUAUAAGACUAACUCCACUUAAAUGAUGUUGUGACAAAAUUAGUUUAUCAGUUUGUAUAGUUAUAUUAUAGUCAUUUCCAUGCUGAAGAGGAACUGUUUAUUUUGAAUUGCUAUAAUAGUUAUCAAAGGUACCAGUAUUAUAAUUGU
RNAcentral lists this long non-coding RNA (2613 nucleotides) under Mytilus galloprovincialis (Mediterranean mussel). The record is from RNAcentral. Lineage: Eukaryota; Metazoa; Mollusca; Bivalvia; Mytilida; Mytilidae.